AUUGAACGCUGGCGGAUGCUUUACACAUGCAAGUCGAGCGGCAGCGCGGGGGCAACCCUGGCGGCGAGCGGCGAACGGGUGAGUAACAUAUCGGAACGUACCCCGUCGUGGGGGAUAACUACCCGAAAGGGUAGCUAAUACCGCAUACGACCUGAGGGUGAAAGGGGGGGAUCGCAAGACCUCUCGCGAUGGGAGCGGCCGAUAUCGGAUUAGCUAGUUGGUGGGGUAAAGGCCUACCAAGGCGACGAUCCGUAGCUGGUCUGAGAGGACGACCAGCCACACUGGAACUGAGACACGGUCCAGACUCCUACGGGAGGCAGCAGUGGGGAAUUUUGGACAAUGGGGGUAACCCUGAUCCAGCCAUUCCGCGUGAGUGAAGAAGGCCUUCGGGUUGUAAAGCUCUUUCAGCAGGAACGAAACGGUGGCCACUAAUACUGGACGCUAAUGACGGUACCUGCAGAAGAAGCACCGGCUAACUACGUGCCAGCAGCCGCCGCAG
Molecule: ribosomal RNA, 499 nt
Filed under: uncultured bacterium
Lineage: Bacteria
Description: partial 16S ribosomal RNA
Rfam family: Bacterial small subunit ribosomal RNA
Source: RNAcentral